CAGGAUUCGUGUCUCCUAAUCACUCAGGGAUCCAGAUUGAGUGGAGUUGCUAUGAUGCUACUCUUUCAAGAUUCCCUCCAUGUACUAAGUUAGAGGAACAGAACAUAGAGAAUAAUGCAGCAGCUCUUGAGUCCGUUUGUAUGGAAGUGAUAGACACACAUUCAUCUGCUCAUAUCUUUGUAGCACGGCCAUCCUUUUCACUAGUAGGUAGGGAAAUGUGACCUUCCAUGUACAUGGAACAGCAAAAACACUCAAUACUGAUGACUCUGGGUGUUGUCCACUGCCACAGGAAGAACAGGAGAAGCAGAAAGAUGGAAUGAUGACCCCAGUGACAGAGAACACCCUGGAAAGAUACUUUCACCUUGCUUUGCACAUGGUUUCCCUGGAUGUCAUCAGAAGUCUGAGUAAAGGAGACAGAAGAGUCCAGUUUGGACAAGAAUGUCUCCGGUGCUAUUUAACUUUCUGGACAAUGAAUGUUCCUGGAGCCCAGCUGCAGGGAUGGAUAACACAUACGUUCAGCUCGAACUGCAAGCUGUUGAGGACAAAGAGCAUAGGAAAUUCAAUUCCAAGCUCUAGUUGUUCCUGAUCAGACUUGACGUGUGUGCCUGGACAAUAAGAUUUGUGACCUCAGCAGAAUAAAUGUAAACCUAAUCCCA
This 656-nucleotide long non-coding RNA is filed under the name Vulpes vulpes (red fox). RNAcentral describes it as "lncRNA (ENSVVUG00000019965.1)". The record is from RNAcentral. Lineage: Eukaryota; Metazoa; Chordata; Mammalia; Carnivora; Canidae.